GAUGAACGCUGGCGGCGUGCCUAACACAUGCAAGUCGAGCGAGAAGAUUAUGAUGGAUCCUUCGGGUGACAGAUUAAUUGGAAAGCGGCGGACGGGUGAGUAACGCGUGGGUAACCUGCCCUGUACAGAGGAAUAGCCAUUGGAAACGAUGAUUAAUGCCUCAUAAGACUACACUACCGCAUGGUAGAGUAGUAAAAACUCCGGUGGUACAGGAUGGACCCGCGUUAGAUUAGUUAGUUGGUGAGGUAACGGCUCACCAAGACCACGAUCUAUAGCCGACCUGAGAGGGUGAUCGGCCACACUGGAACUGAGACACGGUCCAG
This 323-nucleotide ribosomal RNA is filed under the name uncultured bacterium. RNAcentral describes it as "bacterial SSU rRNA". It matches the Rfam family "Bacterial small subunit ribosomal RNA", at positions 28 to 334 of the family's 1533-position model. The record is from RNAcentral.